RNAcentral lists this ribosomal RNA (581 nucleotides) under Saccharomyces cerevisiae (brewer's yeast). RNAcentral describes it as "eukaryotic LSU rRNA". It matches the Rfam family "Eukaryotic large subunit ribosomal RNA", at positions 73 to 670 of the family's 3401-position model. The record is from RNAcentral. Lineage: Eukaryota; Fungi; Ascomycota; Saccharomycetes; Saccharomycetales; Saccharomycetaceae.
AUGCCUUAGUAACGGCGAGUGAAGCGGCAAAAGCUCAAAUUUGAAAUCUGGUACCUUCGGUGCCCGAGUUGUAAUUUGGAGAGGGCAACUUUGGGGCCGUUCCUUGUCUAUGUUCCUUGGAACAGGACGUCAUAGAGGGUGAGAAUCCCGUGUGGCGAGGAGUGCGGUUCUUUGUAAAGUGCCUUCGAAGAGUCGAGUUGUUUGGGAAUGCAGCUCUAAGUGGGUGGUAAAUUCCAUCUAAAGCUAAAUAUUGGCGAGAGACCGAUAGCGAACAAGUACAGUGAUGGAAAGAUGAAAAGAACUUUGAAAAGAGAGUGAAAAAGUACGUGAAAUUGUUGAAAGGGAAGGGCAUUUGAUCAGACAUGGUGUUUUGUGCCCUCUGCUCCUUGUGGGUAGGGGAAUCUCGCAUUUCACUGGGCCAGCAUCAGUUUUGGUGGCAGGAUAAAUCCAUAGGAAUGUAGCUUGCCUCGGUAAGUAUUAUAGCCUGUGGGAAUACUGCCAGCUGGGACUGAGGACUGCGACGUAAGUCAAGGAUGCUGGCAUAAUGGUUAUAUGCCGCCCGUCUUGAAACACGGACCAAA